RNAcentral lists this unclassified non-coding RNA (236 nucleotides) under uncultured fungus. RNAcentral's name for it is "sequence contains ITS1, 5.8S rRNA gene". The stretch from base 188 to 236 matches the Rfam family "5.8S ribosomal RNA", at positions 1 to 49 of the family's 154-position model. Lineage: Eukaryota; Fungi. The record is from RNAcentral.
UCUCCGUAGGUGAACCUGCGGAGGGAUCAUUACCGAGUGAGGGUCCUCGUGGCCCGACCUCCAACCCCCUGUCUUCCGACUCUGUUGCCUCGGGGGCGACCCGGCCCAUUGGGCGUCGGGGCCCCCGGUGGCUCACACCUCAACUCUUGCAUCCGUGCGUCUGAGUCUUAUAUAUGAAUGAAAUCAAAACUUUCAACAACGGAUCUCUUGGUUCUGGCAUCGAUGAAGAACGCAGC